ACUCCUACGGGAGGCAGCAGUGGGGAAUAUUGCACAAUGGGCGCAAGCCUGAUGCAGCAUGCGCGUGUGUGAGAAGGACCAGUCGGUUGUGAAUGCAACUUUCAGUCGUGAGGAAGGUAGUGUAGUUAAUAGCUGCAUUAUUUGACGUUAGCGACAGAAGAAGCACCGGCUAACUCCGUGCCAGCAGCCGCGGUAAUACGGAGGGUGCGAGCGUUAAUCGGAAUUACUGGGCGUAAAGCGCAUGCAGGUGGUUUGUUAAGUCAGAUGUG
RNAcentral lists this ribosomal RNA (269 nucleotides) under uncultured bacterium. Its description in RNAcentral is "partial 16S ribosomal RNA". It matches the Rfam family "Bacterial small subunit ribosomal RNA", at positions 335 to 596 of the family's 1533-position model. The record is from RNAcentral.